AUCCAAUGGCAGCAAGUGAGAGGAGAAGAGUGUGAGGAUGACAUCUAGAUCAUAAUCCAACGGUUCCGAUGAGUCAACUGAGAGUUAAGACAUUUUCUUUUAAAUCAGGCGACUGAGAUAUAACUACACUUAAUCACAAUCUUUCGGAGGAUGCAUGGCAUGGAGGGUGGCCUUUUUCUUUUUUUCCUCUCUCUAUCUCUCACUUCCUCCAACCUCCCUAGUUGUCUCCUCUGCUUCUUUCCUCCGACUUUGCCGGCCGGAAAGGGAGAGGAGGGCUACUUCUAUGUAUUACUACAUCAUAGUACUGUGUUGUUGUUAGUUGUCUUUGUUUUUUUUAUAUAUUGCUCUAAAUCAGGGAGUGGGCGUCCUCUUUCCCUUGUAUUGGCACCUGCUCGACUAGAUGUCGCCAGACGCCAGCGACGAGCUCAAUAAUGGUACUUUUCUGUUCUCACAUGCCUUCAAUAAACUUUUACACAUCUAGAACAUAUAAGAAGAAAGGUAGUACCACUUUAGUUGGAGGACACUUGAUAUUUUG
Molecule: long non-coding RNA, 535 nt
Filed under: Brachypodium distachyon (stiff brome)
Lineage: Eukaryota; Viridiplantae; Streptophyta; Magnoliopsida; Poales; Poaceae
Description: long non-coding RNA (BDIS_LNC005085)
Source: RNAcentral